AUAUUCAUGAAAUAUGAUAGGAUUUAGUAAUGUAUGUUAGAGUCAAUAAAUUUUUUUCAUACUCUUCUUAUUUUUCAGUCUGCUAGUUUAAUAAUAUCUUAAUUUUUAUUUUGACCAAAUUUAUAAUAUAUUUACAUUUAAAAUUUAUUAAAUUCAUACAUAAUUUUAUAAUAUAUAUAUUAUAUAUAGAUAUAAAAAUCUUAAUUAAUAAUUAAAAUAUAAUUACGCUAUACUCAGAAGAGGUAAUCUCACCUUUCUAUCUAAAAAUUGACAAAAUCUACAAAUGCAAAUCUCAACUACAGACUACCAAAUAGAAGAAAUGUAACUGCAGCAGUUGCAACUGUAUAAAACCAAACAGAUUAGAUGUAGUUAUGACUGCAUCAUUUACAACUGCAUGUACUUCUAACUACACUGCUUUUGUAACUACAUCCAUCCAAACGGCCCCUAUAUGAAGAUGAAGAGGUAGACAUUUUGCUGUAGAAAUAGGCCACGAAAAAAAAAUAAAAUGAGAAUGCGACUUAAAUAAUAUAAUAAGAUAAACAAAUUUUUGUUCUCAUAUAGUGCAUUUAGAGAAAAUAAAUUGGUUGAUUUAAAGAGAAGAACUAUACGCAUGCGCGCGCACACACGUGUAAUUAAGGAAGAACAAUUAUACCUUUUUUGAUAUUUUUGGACAUUAUAGGGGAAGAUUCUAGCUCCAAUAACGGCAGCGAUGAUGCUACUGAGAGGAGGGGAGAAGAUGGGUUAGAUGGGUGUAAGGUACCGGAUUUUAAAUGUAAAAGUGAAAAUAAAUAAAAAUAGUGUGGGAUACUAUUUUUAUUGGACUUAUAGACAUAAAUUAUAAGUCUAGAGUGACCCGUGUUGAAAUGGAAGCGAAAACAGAAGAUUUAGAAUUUUCUGUGAGAGACAGGGCAGACGAUAAAUAUCUGUACCGUGCUGCUAAACUGAAUGUGAAUUGUGUUCUUGGAUAACUUGGAGGCCAAGUUU
RNAcentral lists this long non-coding RNA (984 nucleotides) under Ananas comosus (pineapple). Its description in RNAcentral is "long non-coding RNA (ACOM_LNC044677)". Lineage: Eukaryota; Viridiplantae; Streptophyta; Magnoliopsida; Poales; Bromeliaceae. The record is from RNAcentral.